Long non-coding RNA from Myotis davidii, 291 nucleotides. RefSeq lists it as uncharacterized. The record is from RefSeq and is a predicted model, not a curated record. The transcript is spliced from 3 exons. NCBI's taxonomy places the organism in Eukaryota, Metazoa, Chordata, Mammalia, Chiroptera, Vespertilionidae.
AAAAGAACCUCGGGCUAACUUUCCUCAAAACAAUAGCUUCUGAUUUUUUUCUAAUUUAUUUCUUCAACUGUAAGUGCAAAAACCUGGAGUGCAGUCGAUAGGAAGAGAGAAGAAAGACUUCCAUGACAGACCUGAGAAAAAGUUCCUGAAGAUCAGCUGGCUUCUAGAAGAUGUGGAGAAGACAGCAGUCCCUGCCAGCAAACAGUACCCAGCAGACAAUCCAACCUCAAGUUCUGAUCUGGAAGACUAUGUUCCCCGGAAAGAAACUGAAAAUAGAUACAGAACUGAAAU